CUGAGUACGGCGGAACACGUGAAAUUCCGUCGGAAUCCGGGAGGACCAUCUCCCAAGGCUAAAUACUCCCUAGUGACCGAUAGUGAACCAGUACCGUGAGGGAAAGGUGAAAAGCACCCCGGAAGGGGAGUGAAACAGUUCCUGAAACCGUGUGCCUACAAGUAGUUAGAGCCCGUUAAUGGGUGAUAGCGUGCCUUUUGUAGAAUGAACCGGCGAGUUACGAUUUGUUGCAAGGUUAAGCGGAAAAAGCGGAGCCGUAGCGAAAGCGAGUCUGAAUAGGGCGCAUAAGUAACAGGUCGUAGACCCGAAACCAGGUGAUCUACCCAUGUCCAGGAUGAAGGUAAGGUAAUACUUACUGGAGGUCCGAACCCACGCACGUUGAAAAGUGCGGGGAUGAGGUGUGGGUAGCGGAGAAAUUCCAAUCGAACUUGGAGAUAGCUGGUUCUCUCCGAAAUAGCUUUAGGGCUAGCCUCGAGGUAAAGAGUCAUGGAGGUAGAGCACUGUUUGGACUAGGGGCCCUUCUCGGGUUACCGAAUUCAGAUAAACUCCGAAUGCCAUGUACUUAUACUCGGGAGUCAGACUGCGAGUGAUAAGAUCCGUAGUCGAAAGGGAAACAGCCCAGACCACCAGUUAAGGUCCCCAAAUAUAUGUUAAGUGGAAAAGGAUGUGGGGUUGCUUAGACAACCAGGAUGUUGGCUUAGAAGCAGCCACCAUUGAAAGAGUGCGUAAUAGCUCACUGGUCGAGUGACCCCGCGCCGAAAAUGUACCGGGGCUAAACAUAUUACCGAAACUGUGGAUGAACCUCUUUAGAGGUUCGUGGUAGGAGAGCGUUCUAAGGGCGGUGAAGUCAGACCGGAAGGACUGGUGGAGCGCUUAGAAGUGAGAAUGCCGGUAUGAGUAGCGAAAGAAGGGUGAGAAUCCCUUCCACCGAAUAUCUAAGGUUUCCUGAGGAAGGCUCGUCCGCUCAGGGUUAGUCGGGACCUAAGCCGAGGCCGAUAGGCGUAGGCGAUGGACAACAGGUAGAGAUUCCUGUACCAGUGCUAAUUGUUUAACCGAUGGGGUGACACAGAAGGAUAGGGAAUCGCACGAAUGGAAAUGUGCGUCCAAGCAGUGAGUGUGAGAAGUAGGCAAAUCCGCUUCUCGCGAAGCAUGAGCUGUGAUGGGGAAGGAAAUUAAG
Molecule: ribosomal RNA, 1177 nt
Filed under: Listeria monocytogenes
Lineage: Bacteria; Bacillati; Bacillota; Bacilli; Caryophanales; Listeriaceae
Description: partial 23S ribosomal RNA
Rfam family: Bacterial large subunit ribosomal RNA
Source: RNAcentral